RNAcentral lists this ribosomal RNA (492 nucleotides) under uncultured bacterium. Its description in RNAcentral is "partial 16S ribosomal RNA". It matches the Rfam family "Bacterial small subunit ribosomal RNA", at positions 29 to 507 of the family's 1533-position model. The record is from RNAcentral.
AUUGAACGCUGGCGGCAUGCUUUACACAUGCAAGUCGAACGGUAACAGGCCUUCGGGUGCUGACGAGUGGCGAACGGGUGAGUAAUGCAUCGGAACGUACCCAGAGGUGGGGGAUAACGCGGCGAAAGCUGUGCUAAUACCGCAUGUGAUCUGAGGAUGAAAGCGGGGGACCGAGCAGCAAUGUUUGGCCUCGCGCCUUUGGAGCGGCCGAUGUCGGAUUAGCUAGUUGGUGGGGUAAAGGCCUACCAAGGCGACGAUCCGUAGCUGGUCUGAGAGGACGACCAGCCACACUGGGACUGAGACACGGCCCAGACUCCUACGGGAGGCAGCAGUGGGGAAUUUUGGACAAUGGGCGCAAGCCUGAUCCAGCAAUGCCGCGUGCGGGAAGAAGGCCUUCGGGUUGUAAACCGCUUUUGGCAGGAACGAAACGGUGUCCGCUAAUACCGGGCGCUAAUGACGGUACCUGCAGAAUAAGCACCGGAUAACUACGUG